GCGGGUGUAGCUCAGUUGGUAGAGCGUAUCCUUGCCAAGGAUAAGGUCGCCGGUUCGAAACCGGUCACCCGCUCCA
This 76-nucleotide transfer RNA is filed under the name Deltaproteobacteria bacterium. RNAcentral describes it as "tRNA-Gly". It matches the Rfam family "tRNA". Rfam says of the family: Transfer RNA (tRNA) molecules are approximately 80 nucleotides in length. Their secondary structure includes four short double-helical elements and three loops (D, anti-codon, and T loops). Further hydrogen bonds mediate the characteristic L-shaped molecular structure. tRNAs have two regions of fundamental functional importance: the anti-codon, which is responsible for specific mRNA codon recognition, and the 3' end, to which the tRNAs corresponding amino acid is attached (by aminoacyl-tRNA synthetases). tRNAs cope with the degeneracy of the genetic code in two manners: having more than one tRNA (with a specific anti-codon) for a particular amino acid; and 'wobble' base-pairing, i.e. permitting non-standard base-pairing at the 3rd anti-codon position. Lineage: Bacteria; Pseudomonadati; Myxococcota; Myxococcia. The record is from RNAcentral.